AACGAACGCUUGCUGCAUGCUUUAUACAUGCAAGUCGAACGAAGGCCCUAGCUUGCUAGGUGUCCUUAGUGGCGCACGGGUGAGUAACACGUGGGAACAUACCUCAUAGUACGGAAUAACUGCGGGAAACUGUAGCUAAUACCGUAUAUUCCAGCAAUGGGAAAGAUUUAUCGCUAUGAGAUUGGCCCGCGCAAGAUUAGUUUGUUGGUAAGGUAAUGGCUUACCAAGACUACGAUCUUUAGCUGGUUUGAGAGGAUGAUCAGCCACACUGGGACUGAGACACGGCCCAGACUCCUACGGGAGGCAGCAGUAGGGAAUAUUGGACAAUGGGGGAAACCCUGAUCCAGCAAUGCAGCGUGAGUGACGAAGGCCUUAGGGUUGUAAAACUCUUUCAUCGGUGAGGAUAAUGACAGUAGCCGAAGAAGAAGGACCGGCUAAUUCCGUGCCAGCAGCCGCGGUAAUACGGAAGGUCCUAGCGUUGUUCGGAAUUACUGGGCGUAAAGCGCAUGUAGGCGGAACAGAAAGUUAGAAGUGAAAUCCCUGGGCUCAACCUAGGAAUUGCUUUUAAAACUUCUGUUCUGGAAUUCAGGAGAGGAAAAUGGAAUAUCCAGUGUAGAGGUGAAAUUCGUAGAUAUUGGAUGGAACACCAGUGGCGAAGGCGAUUUUCUGGACUGAUAUGACGCUGA
This 686-nucleotide ribosomal RNA is filed under the name alpha proteobacterium IMCC14691. Its description in RNAcentral is "bacterial SSU rRNA". It matches the Rfam family "Bacterial small subunit ribosomal RNA", at positions 28 to 749 of the family's 1533-position model. The record is from RNAcentral. Lineage: Bacteria; Pseudomonadati; Pseudomonadota; Alphaproteobacteria. RNAcentral also lists the same sequence under 1 other name.